Molecule: ribosomal RNA, 482 nt
Filed under: uncultured bacterium
Lineage: Bacteria
Description: partial 16S ribosomal RNA
Rfam family: Bacterial small subunit ribosomal RNA
Source: RNAcentral
GACGAACGCUGGCGGCGUGCCUAACACAUGCAAGUCGAACGGAACCGUUUUGAAAGAUUUCUUCGGAAUGAAUUUGAUUUCGUUUAGUGGCGGACGGGUGAGUAACGCGUGAGUAACCUGCCUUCAAGAGGGGAAUAACAUUCUGAAAAGAAUGCUAAUCCCGCAUGACAUAUCGGAACCACAUGGUUUUGAUAUCAAAGAUUUUAUCGCUUGAAGAUGGACUGGCGUCCGCUUAGUUAGUUGGUGAGGUAACGGCUCACCAAGACCGCGAUCGGUAACCGGAGUGCGGAGUUGGACGGCAGAAUUGUGACUGAGGCACCGGCCGGGAACCUUCGGGAAGGAGCGGAAGGGGGAAUUACGCAAUCGGCGCGAGCCAAAAGGGGCAACGGCUCGUGAAGGAUUAAGGUUUGCGGAGAAUAAACUUAUGUUAAUAAGGACGAAAAAUGACGGUACCUAAUGAAUAAGCUCCGGCUAACUUCGUG